Hordeum vulgare subsp. vulgare (domesticated barley) is the source of this 137-nucleotide non-coding RNA. Lineage: Eukaryota; Viridiplantae; Streptophyta; Magnoliopsida; Poales; Poaceae. The record is from Rfam.
UUACUACUCCCUCCGUUCCAAAAUUCUUGUCUUUGUUUUUUUCUAAAAAUGGAUGUAUGUAAAUACUAAAACAUGACUAGUUACAUUCAUAUGUAGACAAAUUUAAGAUAAGAAUUUUGAGACGGAGGGAGUAAUAC